RNAcentral lists this transfer RNA (74 nucleotides) under Pseudomonas phage vB_PaeM_PA5oct. Its description in RNAcentral is "tRNA-Met". It matches the Rfam family "tRNA". From Rfam's summary of the family: Transfer RNA (tRNA) molecules are approximately 80 nucleotides in length. Their secondary structure includes four short double-helical elements and three loops (D, anti-codon, and T loops). Lineage: Duplodnaviria; Heunggongvirae; Uroviricota; Caudoviricetes; Arenbergviridae. RNAcentral also lists the same sequence under 3 other names. The record is from RNAcentral.
GGGACUUUAGCUCAGUUGGUUAGAGCGCGCGACUCAUAAUCGCUAGGUCACUGGUUCGAAUCCAGUAAGUCCCA